UUCCAGACUCCUACGGGAGGCAGCAGUGGGGGAUAUUGCACAAUGGGGGGAACCCUGAUGCAGCGACGCCGCGUGGGUGAAGGAGCGUUUCGGCGCGUAAAGCCCUAUCGGCAGGGAAGAAGGAGGACGGUACCUGACUAAGAAGCCUCGGCUAACUACGUGCCAGCAGCCGCGGGAAUACGUAGGGGGCAAGCGUUGUUCGGAAUGACUGGGCGUAAAGGGUGCGUAGGCGGUGUAGCAAGUUAGAAGUGAAAUACCUAGAGCUUAACUCAGGUGCUGCUUCUAAAACUGCUAUACUUGAGUGCAGUAGAGGAAAGUGGAAUUCCUAGUGUAGCGGUGGAAUGCGUAGAUAUUAGGAGGAACAUCAGUGGCGAAGGCGACUUUCUGGACUGUAACUGACGCUGAGGCACGAAAGUGUGGGGAGCAAACAGGAUUAGAUACCCCAGUAA
RNAcentral lists this ribosomal RNA (449 nucleotides) under uncultured bacterium. Its description in RNAcentral is "partial 16S ribosomal RNA". It matches the Rfam family "Bacterial small subunit ribosomal RNA", at positions 329 to 793 of the family's 1533-position model. The record is from RNAcentral.